Long non-coding RNA from Eriocheir sinensis (Chinese mitten crab), 719 nucleotides. RefSeq lists it as uncharacterized. The record is from RefSeq and is a predicted model, not a curated record. Lineage: Eukaryota; Metazoa; Arthropoda; Malacostraca; Decapoda; Varunidae. The transcript has 2 exons.
GAGAGAGAGAGAGAGAGAGAGAGAGUAUAAAGGCGGGGGAGUCAGCUGGAGUCAUGGUAGAAUCUUCACACUGUCUUCGUCAUUCACGCAUCGUUAGUCAAGCAGCCAGACAGCCAAAGAGUCUCUCGGGGAAGGAGUCGAUCAGCAAGACUAAUUUUACCCAUCAUCAUACUGCGUCGCCUUUCUCUUGAAGCAAAAGUCAUCAUAAGGUGCAGCAUGAGGUCCCGAUGGCCUCUCAGGGGCGGGUUUCUUCUCAUCGCUCUGAUCGCCGCCACCGCCGCCGCCGCCAUUCACGGCCCUGUCCGGCCCCACCUUGAGGACACGGGUGACCCAGCCCUGACCCAGCCGGCAGCCGAAGGACCAGGGACGGGAGGCACACCCACAACCUCCACCACCACCACAACCAUGGACCUGUUGGACGAGUACUGCAACGAGGCGUGCCGGGCAGGCGUGGGAGGGCCGGAGUGUGGCUGCCCCAACCACCCCAUUGGCUAGUCUGUCCGUCCCUGCCUACCAUUAGCAACGCCGUGACACAGGGGGCAGUGAUGGGCCGCGGCGGCUCCGGGACCACCAAUGAGCGAUGAGGACGCACGAGCUGAGGCAGAUCCAGGAAGAGGUGAGGAGCGGGGCCAAAACAUUAAUUCCGAAGUUAAAAAAAAAAAAGAAUAUUUAGAAUCAAUAUAUCAUCCUAAAUCAUUAAACCGCUUUCCAUUUUUAAA